This 98-nucleotide ribosomal RNA is filed under the name Vibrio cholerae. Lineage: Bacteria; Pseudomonadati; Pseudomonadota; Gammaproteobacteria; Vibrionales; Vibrionaceae. The record is from RNAcentral.
UUGGACCCACCUGACUCCAUCCCGAACUCAGAAGUGAAACGAAACAGCGUCGAUGGUAGUGUGGGGUCUCCCCAUGUGAGAGUAGAACAUCGCCAGGC